GCAAAUGCCUAUUGUGAUUUUGAGGGUGGAUAAACAAAAAAGAAAUUGAACAUUUAAAGCAAUCAUCCAUGACAUCCCAUAACUUGCGAUGCUGCCAGUGUACAUUAUUUUAACAAUCAGUUGCCAGGAAUAUAGCAAUUUGGACCUUUGCUAAAUCUUCUCUGAACAUGUGGCUCUUAACAUAUUAUCAAUAGUGCUGUUUCUGUUUGCACCAGCUAGUCUUUAAAACUGGUCUUAAACUCAAUGCCAUCUCAUUCCAAUAUCACACAGGGACUGCUGCUGUUCUUUACACAGUAGUAUGUAACUUGCUAUUUAGGACAGUCCAGGUGGCCUUACCUCCUUAAGGGUUGCUUUGAACUCCAGGGCUUGGUGCAGGACUAGUGUUAGUUUCAAAUCCUGAAGUCUGCAUGCAGUUCCUCCACUCAACAGAAACCAGGUGAAGGAGAAAUGGAAGAACCAAUGAGAAGAAAAAAAAGAAGAAAAGGAAGAAACCAAAGCUACCGAGCAAUGCUCCUGUGCCUGAAGAGACCACAGCUGUAGUUCAAGAGCCGCCUAAGUUUGAGGACAAGGAUGAAAUCUGGCAACUGCAUCUGGCAAUACUAACAAAGCACAUCGUUCUGCAAACCAGAGCAUCUUCUCCUACAGCAACAUUGCAAAGUGGCAA
Polyodon spathula (Mississippi paddlefish) is the source of this 664-nucleotide long non-coding RNA. RefSeq lists it as uncharacterized. The transcript has 3 exons. The record is from RefSeq and is a predicted model, not a curated record. NCBI's taxonomy places the organism in Eukaryota, Metazoa, Chordata, Actinopteri, Acipenseriformes, Polyodontidae.